GUUCCCAUCCCGAACACAGAAGUUAAGCUCUCCAGUGCCGAUGAUACUUGGGCGGAGACGCCUUGGGAAAGUAGGUCGCUGCCAGAU
This 87-nucleotide ribosomal RNA is filed under the name Clostridiaceae bacterium. The record is from RNAcentral. Lineage: Bacteria; Bacillati; Bacillota; Clostridia; Eubacteriales; Clostridiaceae.